UAAGUUGCUGUUGCUGCACAGUUCAAAAUCUGGACAGUUCUAGUUAGUUCCUACUUUUCAGCCAACUUAGCAUCAGAAUCUGGAAAAGUGUGAUAUACAGAAGUUGUGGAGGACUUCAUAAGCUUUUCAACCAUGUAAGGCUCGUUCCCAUAUGAUCUAAGUAACUCGAGAUUGCAAGUUGCUGCACCGAUGCUGAGACAUUGUCGG
Molecule: long non-coding RNA, 207 nt
Filed under: Sorghum bicolor (sorghum)
Lineage: Eukaryota; Viridiplantae; Streptophyta; Magnoliopsida; Poales; Poaceae
Description: long non-coding RNA (SBIC_LNC018720)
Source: RNAcentral